This 416-nucleotide ribosomal RNA is filed under the name uncultured Funneliformis. Its description in RNAcentral is "partial 28S ribosomal RNA". Lineage: Eukaryota; Fungi; Glomeromycota; Glomeromycetes; Glomerales; Glomeraceae. The record is from RNAcentral.
GAGAGUUAAACAGUACGUGAAAUUGUUGAAAGGGAAACGAUUGAAGUCAGUCAUACUAACGGGAAAUCAACCUCUUGAGUUUGGUCUCGUGGGUUUUGAAGAGUUUAAAAGCCUUCGGAUUUUCGAGAUUGGAUUCUUCUGGUGUACUUUCUCGUACGGUUAGUCAACAUCGGUUUUGAAUGUCAUAAAAUGACUGGAGGAAUGUGGCUUCGAUCUCGUAUUGAAGUGUUAUAGCCUUUGGUAGAUGUGAUGUUCGAGACCGAGGAUUGUGCAACGGAUACCCUUCUGGGCUAUUCGUCUGAUCUCUGAAACGUUGCCUUGAUGUCGAAAGCUUGCUUAUGAUGUUAGGGUAUUACGGUCAAAAGGUUAGAACGGAUUAAAUUCGUUAAGGAUGUUGACGUAAUGACUUUAAACGA